GACGAACGCUGGCGGCGUGCCUAACACAUGCAAGUCGAGCGAAUGAAGUUCCUUCGGGAAUGGAUUUAGCGGCGGACGGGUGAGUAACACGUGGGCAACCUGCCUCAUAGAGGGGAAUAGCCUUCCGAAAGGGAGAUUAAUACCGCAUAAGAUUGUAGUAUCGCAUGAUACAGCAAUUAAAGGAGCAAUCCGCUAUGAGAUGGGCCCGCGGCGCAUUAGCUAGUUGGUGAGGUAACGGCUCACCAAGGCGACGAUGCGUAGCCGACCUGAGAGGGUGAUCGGCCACAUUGGGACUGAGACACGGCCCCGACUCCCACGGGAGGCAGCAGUGGGGAAUAUUGGACAAUGGGGGAAACCCUGAUGCAGCAACGCCGCGUGAGUGAUGACGGCCUUCGGGUUGUAAAGCUCUGUCUUCAGGGACGAUAAUGACGGUACCUGAGGAGGAAGCCACGGCUAACUACGUG
This 464-nucleotide ribosomal RNA is filed under the name uncultured bacterium. RNAcentral's name for it is "partial 16S ribosomal RNA". It matches the Rfam family "Bacterial small subunit ribosomal RNA", at positions 28 to 507 of the family's 1533-position model. The record is from RNAcentral.